GGGGGGAAAUGGGGUGUGUUAUUGGAGUGAGAUUGGCAUCGUUCUUCACCGGUGCUGCAGCGGCGUCGUUUCUGGGCCUCUACAGCCUCCACAACGAUUACAAGCUCGCGCACUUAUACUAUAUUCAACGGAUGCAUGUAUUUCGUCUUUUGAUUGAUGGAGUGAGGAUUGUGCAGAGGGAGGCAGACUGCUUCAUUUCCUGAUCCAGCUUUUGAUUGAAUUGAAAGAUGAAUGGCCUCCACAAAUCACUGGAAAGUCGAAUUUCUUCCUUGGAAAAACUGAAACAAACGGAAACUUCUGAACAGGUUGAAGCAACAAAAUAAGAGUUCAGACCGAAGCAUCCAUUGUGGAAAAAUUUGAUUCA
Molecule: long non-coding RNA, 364 nt
Organism: Glycine soja
Lineage: Eukaryota; Viridiplantae; Streptophyta; Magnoliopsida; Fabales; Fabaceae
Exons: 3
Source: RefSeq, a predicted model, not a curated record